RNAcentral lists this ribosomal RNA (468 nucleotides) under uncultured bacterium. Its description in RNAcentral is "partial 16S ribosomal RNA". It matches the Rfam family "Bacterial small subunit ribosomal RNA", at positions 28 to 507 of the family's 1533-position model. The record is from RNAcentral.
GACGAACGCUGGCGGCGUGCUUAACACAUGCAAGUCGAACGGAAAGGCCCUGCUUUUGUGGGGUGCUCGAGUGGCGAACGGGUGAGUAACACGUGAGUAACCUGCCCUUGACUUUGGGAUAACUUCAGGAAACUGGGGCUAAUACCGGAUAGGAGCUCCUGAUGCAUGGUGGGGGUUGGAAAGUUUCGGCGGUUGGGGAUGGACUCGCGGCUUAUCAGCUUGUUGGUGGGGUAGUGGCUUACCAAGGCUUUGACGGGUAGCCGGCCUGAGAGGGUGACCGGCCACAUUGGGACUGAGAUGCGGCCCAGACUCCUACGGGAGGCAGCAGUGGGGAAUAUUGCACAAUGGGCGGAAGCCUGAUGCAGCAACGCCGCGUGCGGGAUGACGGCCUUCGGGUUGUAAACCGCUUUCGCCUGUGACGAAGCGUGAGUGACGGUAAUGGGUAAAGAAGCACCGGCUAACUACGUG